RNAcentral lists this ribosomal RNA (455 nucleotides) under uncultured bacterium. Its description in RNAcentral is "bacterial SSU rRNA". It matches the Rfam family "Bacterial small subunit ribosomal RNA", at positions 34 to 507 of the family's 1533-position model. The record is from RNAcentral.
CGCUGGCGGCGUGCCUAACACAUGCAAGUCGAACGAGGUCCAUCCUUCGGGAGAAGACCUAGUGGCGAACGGAUGAGUAACACGUGAAGAACCUGCCCCGAAGACCGGGAUAACCCUCCGAAAGGAGAGCUAAUACCGGAUACCCCCACCGAACCGCAUGGUUUGGUGAGGAAAUGGAUUCCGCUUCGGGAGGGCUUCGCGGCCUAUCAGCUAGUUGGUGGGGUAACGGCCCACCAAGGCAUCGACGGGUAGCUGGUCUGAGAGGACGAUCAGCCACACUGGGACUGAGACACGGCCCAGACUCCUACGGGAGGCAGCAGUGGGGAAUCUUGCGCAAUGGGCGAAAGCCUGACGCAGCAACGCCGCGUGGGGAUGAAGGCUCUCGGGUUGUAAACCCCUUUCAGCAGGGACGAAUCAAGACGGUACCUGCAGAAGAAGCCCCGGCUAACUACGUG